AGAUGGAGUUUAUUCGCACAAGAAGGUAAAUGCAGCCUAUACUUUACACGUACAUAUGUGGGUUACUAAUAUAUGUUAUAUCUUGUGCCCUUCUUCAUUACACUGUGUUUUUGUUUGUGGGUGUGCAAUUACUUCAUGAAAGCUAUACCGGAGAAGAAAUAUGUGCUGGCUCAUCUAGCAAUCGAUGCGGUCGCUGCUCACUUCUUGAGAUUUCGUAAGGAGACAAAAGUUAUGCUUGUCAUCUUUUGUAACCUCUGUGCAGCUCGAAAGAGUCUCUGGAACUUCCAGCUUUGGCCGUGUUUGAUUAUGUUACUUAGCUGGAGUAAUUGAUGUAUUAAGCCAACGUCGAUCCCACCACCCAAACAAUUAAGUAAUUCUGGAAAAAAAAAUUCUUCAGUUUAAACCCAUUAAAAAUAAAAUAAAAAUAAAACUCCUGCAUGUAAUUAUCACUAGAGUUUAUUUUUUAUUUUAUUUUGAAAUACUUGUCUUAAAACAUAAAUAAUUGAGAACUACAAAUUACCGAAAAAACAAAAAUAAACAAAGUUUGGGAUAAUGAAUAGUAGUUUCAAAUUAACACCACAAACUAGACUAAUCUGCUACACCUAUAAAAAACACAAAUACUGAC
Molecule: long non-coding RNA, 625 nt
Filed under: Brassica napus (rape)
Lineage: Eukaryota; Viridiplantae; Streptophyta; Magnoliopsida; Brassicales; Brassicaceae
Description: long non-coding RNA (BNAP_LNC026375)
Source: RNAcentral